Molecule: long non-coding RNA, 1004 nt
Organism: Harmonia axyridis
Lineage: Eukaryota; Metazoa; Arthropoda; Insecta; Coleoptera; Coccinellidae
Exons: 2
Source: RefSeq, a predicted model, not a curated record
AUAUCUGUUGAAAAAGUCUUCCAUAUGGUAUACCGAUGGAUUAAAAUCAGAGGGAGGAAUGGGUAUUGGGUUAUAAGGACCUAAAAUGAGGAUCUCUAAAUCCCUGGGAAGUGAGCCCUCAACCUUACACACCGAGGCACUAGCUGCACUCAUGAGUGUUUAAGAAGAAACCUCGAAGGGGCGCAUAUUUACAUCACUAAGGACAGCCAAGCCACGCCGAGGUCCCUGGAAUCAUAUUGCCAGGGGUCUCUUCUGACAUCGGCGUGCCGCAAUAUCAUGAAGCAACUGGCCAGAGGUAAUAAAGUAACUCUACUAUGGGUAACAGGACAUUGUGGUAUUGAAGGGAACGAGGUCCAACAAUAGGGGUGGAACAAUAGAAUAACCCUCUGGAGGAACAUUCCUGGUUUUGCUCAGGCAAAGAAAUUUGUGGUACUUUCACCGACAUAUACCAGGAAGCUCUUGAAGUUGCUACGAGCUGAGCUUCUGGUAAUGGUGGGAUUGUUGACAGCAUGGGUAUGGUCAGCAGAUAAGAUUUGCAGGCUCUGUGGAAAGGAGCUAGGAAUGGCCGUUGUCCAGGGACCGUAUUCUCGACAAGUGAUCUUUCAAAACGUAUACUUUCAUUCAGUGUUAAGAGCACUGAAAGUACGUAUACGUUUUGAAAGAUCACUUGUCGAGAAUACGGUCCCCGGCCUGACUGUUCUGAGAACCACUCAUAUUGGAUACUCGGAAAGUAACAGCCACGGUCACUAGGGAUGUUGUCGGCUUCAUUAUCAUUAUCGACGAUCUCCUCAUUCCCGGAAGGUUAAUAGAGCCGUUAUGAACCCGGUUCAAUAAUAAUAAUACAUGUUGUUUCAAUCUGUGGGCAAGGAGAAAUGUGAUACUUUUUUCCCAAAUUUUAUAUCAUAUUAUAACAUAUUAUUUCGUUAUAACACUAACCAAUAAUCAUUAUAGAUCCUGUGGUUCUGGUCUACAAAUAAUCUCUAACUGUACAAAAGUGGUAAAAG